UUAUGAAUUAAACUGCCCAAAGCGCAGCUCUCCUUUUUCAUCUCACAACUUGACAAACAAACCCUAAUAUUUUGUAAAACACGCAGCACGCCGCCGCCCACUCAACAUUCACCCCGGAAAAACAGUACCCUUACUCCGGCUCAUGCGAGUGCUGGUCUAUUUCGGCUUCUUCAUCACCACGAAAGCCGCUGACGGUGACGAAGCCUACGGCUUAACCCUACUGUCAAAAUUAUUGGGCUAAUCAGUAAAUUCACAGCCAUAAUAAGUGGCUGAGAAGGGAUGCACAUGUCCUGAAAAUUGGGAGGCCAGCACCAAUAAGAAGCAUCCACAUGUACACCUAAAUAUUAUCCAUUACGAAGACCUCAAGUCAACAACCCUGUAUUGCCAUGUCAUCCAUGUGAAGAACCAUUGCCAAAUCAUCUAAGUGAUGAGUCAUAACACUAACAGCUGGCUCCUUCCCCAAAUCAAGCUGCCAACCAGCCAUAACAUUGCCUACACAAUGCAAUAAAUCCAACCAGACAGGUCAGGUCAGCACCAACACUCCUAAUUUUUUUUUAUUUUUUUUUCUUCUUCCACAUUCUUCUUAUCUCUAUUAUGUGAUACCAGUUUAAAGUUUUACCAUUUUUUCUCAGGAUUUAGAAAUAUACAACGCUAAGGUAUACAAAGAACCAUUGUUUAGUAGUUUAAUUAUACUGUCAAAAAUUAACAAAAGUAUAAACUAACUUUGGUGGAAAACUGUUCUUAUUCUGUAAACUACAUCCAUGAUAAAUGCCUAGAAUUGCAUUUGAUGAUUACAUGAUCUAAUGAUGAUUUGUUGAAGAUUAUACAAUUGGUUUUUAAUGAAGUGGAAUUCUCAGAAUGACUACUAAUCUUUCUAACGUGCGAAAUGAAGCAGCUGAAGACAGCAGGAUUGGGAGCAAGCCAUGUGGAUUAACAUGAGGCUUAAAGUGCCGGUUAUGCUUUUUUGAAUAUGAAAUUAACUCGUGCCUGUAAUAUUAAUUUCCUAUUGCAUAGCAACUUUGUACUCUCACUGCUAUCUAUUUUGAACUUUCUUGAUUUGUAUUUCAGGAUGAAUAGGUUGGUUUUGCAAACUUAAGUCUAGGAAAAGCCUGCCCAUCCCUGUACGAAAUCCAACCAUCUAUAUAUAUUUAAUCCUUUCUCCCUACUUUUUUUCUCAUGAAAUUGUCUGCAUGUGCUUCUUCUUUCAAUUGGAAACUGUUUUUACUUAUAUACUGGAAACUCGUGCACUUAAUCAAGCAGCAGUAGAAUGUAUUCAAGAUUUCAAUUCCUAUCAUGCUUGCUCCAACGGCCAUGCAGAAACGGUCCUCCCUGAAGGGGAGUAUGAUGUGGCAGUUUGUAAGAUAGUAAUGAAGCAAAAGUCCUUUAAGGACUGAUAAAACCCAACACUGUGCUGUCCAAAGCUAACAAACAAUGAAGGACUGGAAGGGAAGAUGUAGAUUUUAGUGGCUCUUUAGUAAAUAGAAAAGAAAUGCUAAUGAUUAUAUAAAGACAAAUUUGUAGAAAGUUGUAAAUUUGUAUUGGUUUUUUUGAAAUUAUACACGAAAAAAGUAGGCAUUUGUAUGGUGUA
Long non-coding RNA from Mercurialis annua (annual mercury), 1588 nucleotides. RefSeq lists it as uncharacterized. The transcript is spliced from 3 exons. NCBI's taxonomy places the organism in Eukaryota, Viridiplantae, Streptophyta, Magnoliopsida, Malpighiales, Euphorbiaceae. The record is from RefSeq and is a predicted model, not a curated record.